Molecule: long non-coding RNA, 604 nt
Organism: Anolis carolinensis (green anole)
Lineage: Eukaryota; Metazoa; Chordata; Lepidosauria; Squamata; Anolidae
Exons: 2
Source: RefSeq, a predicted model, not a curated record
UUUCUGGAAAUGUUUAUUCUUUCUUCCUGAAAAAAUAUAUAAUUAUAUUCAUAUUGAUUUCUGGGCUUCCCACAGACUGGAGUAAAGCUUUUAAAAUGCUGACUUGAGGAAAGAGGCCAUGCCUUCCUUGCCCCUUCUGAGAUCUUUGGGAACAUCUAAUGGUUAUCAACUGCAUGGUUUGCAGCUCCUGAAAAAGAAGUCAGUACUGAGGGAAGAUGGCUGUAAAUGGAAGGUUUUCCAGUUCCAGUCAGGCCGUGCCAUGCCACGACUCUCGAGUAGACCUUGACUUUACUUCAGUUGUUUCCUUGUUCCUGUUUCAAGUUUGCCUCAGCCUUGACAACCUUGCUGCCUUGAUUGCUACGAAGUUUUUUCCAGUGGAUUGAACUCUGUUUCUGCCAGCCUUGUUUCUCUGUUUUAACUCAUGGGCACUUUGAUUUCUUUGGAGUGCUAUCAAGCUCUCAUUGUUCUCAAUAAUUCUCAUAUCGGACCUUUUCCUUUACCCAUUUGGAACUUUCUAAAAAGAACUAUUCCUUACUCAGACUCUAUACCUGAUUUCCUUUGGAUAUAUAAUUGCUUUAAUAAAUAUAUAGUGUAUUAUAUUGGC